CCGCCUCUUUGUAACAGGAAGGAGAAAACAAGUGGGAUGAAAUGACAAACUGCACCCUGAUGAGUAACUGUCACUCACCUCAAAAGAGGUUAACUCAACGAUGAGAGGGGACAGUGUUAGAGCUUGGGAUUGGAAGAAUAUUAAAUAGUGUUAAUACUCCCACAGGGCUGAGCUGCUCAGGCUGAGUCCGUCUCCCUUCAGCGUGCCUCCCUUGUCUCCGCGCAGGUAUUUGCCGUUCUUGCCACGGAUGGCGAGGCGGCCAUGUUCCAGGAGCUCCAGAGAGAAAUCCUCAGGGGCCUCGCCGUCUGAGCAUACCAGCCCAGCACUGUCCACGUACCAGAACCGGCCAUCCACACCUACAGGGUUAAAGGGAAAUCACCAGGCCCCGUUACUGAACAGCAGGGUGAAAAUGUCAUAGACCGAUCUGCUGGCGUCGAGUGUGUUGGAGUUCCUGUGAUGGCAGAUGAAGCCGUUCUCUCCUCUCAAGAUCAGCAUGGGUCGGUUGAUCAGUUUCAAAAUGAGCUGUUCAUCCUCACCUAAGAAAACGUGACAACACAUCAGAAGGAACACAAGAGAAGUCCAAGGCAGGGUCUGAGGGAGGAGGUACAUUAGUGAGAUAGACAGGUAGAAGAGGAAGGAGGAGGAGAAUGGGCUCUUACCUAUGGAAUCACUGACAGCAAGUAGCUGGCCAUUCUUCUUGGUGCAAAUGUAUUUUCCAUUGUUAGCUUUUAGUGCCACCUUGUGGCCAAGCCACUCCACUGAAAACAUAGUGUUCGCUGACCUGCAGUUGUGCACCAAAGAGAGAAAAUUAGACUUUACUCUCCUUUGAGUGCUCUUGGAAAUAUUGUGACGAUUGUAAACAUGCAAGACUAAGCAGACUGAAAUUUCUAUAAAAUCACAUUUGCCUUUGGGUGGUUGAGCUCAUGUACUCAAACCAGUGAUUUCUAAUGAUGUGCCAUCUGAUGCAUGCUACUGUGCAACUAUCCCUGUUAUUUUCAGUCUUUCAGAUUUUGUUGGCAGUCACCUCUAUUUUCAAUAGAUAUAUAAAUUCCAUGGCUGACUUGCAUUUUCAAUGACACAUUUUCUUGUAUAAAACGUUGUGACUAUUUGUGUUUAUAACUCUUGAACUCAGAGGUCAUAGUAGUAUAGAUGGUGAGAUAGUGAGGUAAGAGAAAGUCACUCCAUUUUAGCUGAGGACAUACUGUGAUGGUAUAUACUGUAUUUGCUUUUAAACCCAUAUCUGUGAUAUAAAAUAUAGCCUAGAACUGA
Micropterus dolomieu (smallmouth bass) is the source of this 1269-nucleotide long non-coding RNA. RefSeq lists it as uncharacterized. The transcript has 2 exons. The record is from RefSeq and is a predicted model, not a curated record. NCBI's taxonomy places the organism in Eukaryota, Metazoa, Chordata, Actinopteri, Centrarchiformes, Centrarchidae.